GACGAACGCUGGCGGCGUGCUUAACACAUGCAAGUCGAACGAGGUCCAGCCGAGCUUUCGGGCAAAGCGAAGACCUAGUGGCGAACGGGUGCGUAACACGUGAGGAACCUGCCCCGGACUUGGGAAUAACAGUCGGAAACGGCUGCUAAUACCGAAUACCUUCGUAGCGUCGCAUGGCGCAUCGAAGAAAGCUUUUGCGGUCUGGGAGGGCCUCGCGGCCUAUCAGCUAGUUGGCGAGGUAAUGGCUCACCAAGGCAUCGACGGGUAGCUGGUCUGAGAGGAUGAUCAGCCACACUGGGACUGAGACACGGCCCAGACACCUACGGGUGGCAG
RNAcentral lists this ribosomal RNA (333 nucleotides) under uncultured Actinomycetes bacterium. RNAcentral describes it as "bacterial SSU rRNA". It matches the Rfam family "Bacterial small subunit ribosomal RNA", at positions 28 to 351 of the family's 1533-position model. Lineage: Bacteria; Bacillati; Actinomycetota; Actinomycetes. The record is from RNAcentral.